CCUGGCUCAGAUUGAACGCUGGCGGCAUGCUUUACACAUGCAAGUCGAACGGCAGCGCGGGGCAACCUGGCGGCGAGUGGCGAACGGGUGAGUAAUAUAUCGGAACGUACCCAAGAGUGGGGGAUAACGUAGCGAAAGUUACGCUAAUACCGCAUACGAUCYAAGGAUGAAAGCAGGGGACCGCAAGGCCUUGUGCUCCUGGAGCGGCCGAUAUCUGAUUAGCUAGUUGGUGAGGUAAAGGCUCACCAAGGCGACGAUCAGUAGCUGGUCUGAGAGGACGACCAGCCACACUGGGACUGAGACACGGCCCAGACUCCUACGGGAGGCAGCAGUGGGGAAUUUUGGACAAUGGGCGAAAGCCUGAUCCAGCAAUGCCGCGUGAGUGAAGAAGGCCUUCGGGUUGUAAAGCUCUUUUGUCAGGGAAGAAACGGCUGAGGAUAAUACCUUUGGCUAAU
Molecule: ribosomal RNA, 455 nt
Filed under: Massilia sp. R-43135
Lineage: Bacteria; Pseudomonadati; Pseudomonadota; Betaproteobacteria; Burkholderiales; Oxalobacteraceae
Description: bacterial SSU rRNA
Rfam family: Bacterial small subunit ribosomal RNA
Source: RNAcentral